This 384-nucleotide ribosomal RNA is filed under the name uncultured bacterium. RNAcentral describes it as "bacterial SSU rRNA". It matches the Rfam family "Bacterial small subunit ribosomal RNA", at positions 29 to 439 of the family's 1533-position model. The record is from RNAcentral.
AGCGAACGCUGGCGGCAGGCCUAAAACAUGCAAGUCGAACGCCUGUAGCAAUACAGGAGUGGCAGACGGGUGAGUAACACGUGGGAACGUACCCUUUGGUUCGGAACAACACAGGGAAACUUGUGCUAAUACCGGAUAAGCCCUUACGGGGAAAGAUUUAUCGCCAGAGGAUCGGCCCGCGUCUGAUUAGCUUGUUGGUGAGGUAACGGCUCACCAAGGCUACGAUCAGUAGCUGGCUGAGAGGAUGAUCAGCCACACUGGGACUGAGACACGGCCCAGACUCCUACGGGAGGCAGCAGUUAGGAAUCUUGGACAAUGGGCGCAAGCCUGAUCCAGCCAUGCCGCGUGAGUGAUGAAGGCCUUAGGGUUGUAAAGCUCUUUCAG